GGGCCCGCACAAGCAGUGGAGUAUGUGGUUUAAUUCGACGCAACGCGAAAAACCUUACCAGGUCUUGACAUCCAACUAACGAAGCAGAGAUGCAUAAGGUGCCCUUCGGGGAAAGUUGAGACAGGUGGUGCAUGGUUGUCGUCAGCUCGUGUCGUGAGAUGUUGGGUUAAGUCCCGCAACGAGCGCAACCCUUAUUGUUAGUUGCUACGGAAGAGCACUCUAACGAGACUGCCGUUGACAAAACGGAGGAAGGUGGGGAUGACGUCAAAUCAUCAUGCCCUUUAUGACCUGGGCUACACACGUACUACAAUGGCGGCGAACAAAGGGGAGCAAAGAGGUGACUCGGAGCAAAUCCUGAAAAGCCGUCUCAGUUCAGAUUGCAGGCUGCAACUCGCCUGCAUGAAGGCGGAAUUGCUAGUAAUCGCGAAUCAGCAUGUCGCGGUGAAUACGUUCCCGGGCCUU
This 462-nucleotide ribosomal RNA is filed under the name uncultured bacterium. Its description in RNAcentral is "bacterial SSU rRNA". It matches the Rfam family "Bacterial small subunit ribosomal RNA", at positions 917 to 1382 of the family's 1533-position model. The record is from RNAcentral.